GAUGAACGCUGGCGGCGUGCCUAAUACAUGCAAGUCGAGCGAACGGACGAGAAGCUUGCUUCUCUGAUGUUAGCGGCGGACGGGUGAGUAACACGUGGAUAACCUACCUAUAAGACUGGGAUAACUUCGGGAAACCGGAGCUAAUACCGGAUAAUAUUUUGAACCGCAUGGUUCAAAAGUGAAAGACGGUCUUGCUGUCACUUAUAGAUGGAUCCGCGCUGCAUUAGCUAGUUGGUAAGGUAACGGCUUACCAAGGCAACGAUGCAUAGCCGACCUGAGAGGGUGAUCAGCCACACUGGAACUGAGACAAGGUCCAGAAUCCUACGGGAGGCAGCAGUAGGGAAUCUUCCGCAAUGGGCGAAAGCCUGACGGAGCAACGCCGCGUGAGUGAUGAAGGUCUUCGGAUCGUAAAACUCUGUUAUUAGGGAAGAACAAAUGUGUAAGUAACUAUGCACAUCUUGACGGUACCUAAUCAGAAAGCCACGGCUAACUACGUG
RNAcentral lists this ribosomal RNA (497 nucleotides) under uncultured bacterium. RNAcentral describes it as "partial 16S ribosomal RNA". It matches the Rfam family "Bacterial small subunit ribosomal RNA", at positions 28 to 507 of the family's 1533-position model. The record is from RNAcentral.